RNAcentral lists this transfer RNA (82 nucleotides) under Mesorhizobium sp. LNJC394B00. RNAcentral describes it as "tRNA-Lys". Lineage: Bacteria; Pseudomonadati; Pseudomonadota; Alphaproteobacteria; Hyphomicrobiales; Phyllobacteriaceae. The record is from RNAcentral.
UAGCCCGGUUUAGUCGGGCUUAUCGAUUGUCCCCUGACUUUUAAUCAGUAGGUCUCGGGUUCGAACCCCGACGCGCUCACCA